CUUUCCCAACCAGCUGCCAUUGGGAAAAAUCCUCCUCUGGGAUUAAUACCUUCAAGAACAGGACUACCCAGAGCAAUACGGUGUACAAAGAAAGGCUCCCCUUGGGGAUCUCCUUCUCAUUGAUUCCACUAACCCUGGAGCCUGCACUGAGAAUGAAGGCCUGUCUGCUCCUCUGGAACACAACUCUCAAUAUCAAUCAGUUCCUGGACUCAGCUCCUCCUGUUCAUCCUUCAUUAUAACCGAAGACCCACUAGGAGAGAUAUCAAUGAUGCCAAUAACAAAAGCUCCGCCUGCUAUAUCAUCUUCACCAUGCCAAGCUUGGUGCUCUGACAUAUGAAGGUCUUCUAGUGGAGCAUUCCACUGCCUUAUCCCUCCAAAGCGUCUAAAAUCCUAGGUGUGGGUAGGCUGCAUCAUGGAAUGGGAAGGAAAGAGCU
Molecule: long non-coding RNA, 434 nt
Organism: Choloepus didactylus (southern two-toed sloth)
Lineage: Eukaryota; Metazoa; Chordata; Mammalia; Pilosa; Megalonychidae
Exons: 3
Source: RefSeq, a predicted model, not a curated record